RNAcentral lists this ribosomal RNA (1057 nucleotides) under Slopeiomyces cylindrosporus. RNAcentral describes it as "SSU rRNA". It matches the Rfam family "Eukaryotic small subunit ribosomal RNA", at positions 57 to 1124 of the family's 1831-position model. Lineage: Eukaryota; Fungi; Ascomycota; Sordariomycetes; Magnaporthales; Magnaporthaceae. The record is from RNAcentral.
GUCUAAGUAUAAGCAAUUAUACAGCGAAACUGCGAAUGGCUCAUUAAAUCAGUUAUCGUUUAUUUGAUAGUACCUUACUACAUGGAUAACCGUGGUAAUUCUAGAGCUAAUACAUGCUAAAAACCCCGACUUCGGAAGGGGUGUAUUUAUUAGAUUAAAAACCAAUGCCCUUCGGGGCUCACUGGUGAUUCAUGAUAACUUCUCGAAUCGCACGGCCUUGCGCCGGCGAUGGUUCAUUCAAAUUUCUGCCCUAUCAACUUUCGACGGCUGGGUCUUGGCCAGCCGUGGUGACAACGGGUAACGGAGGGUUAGGGCUCGACCCCGGAGAAAACGCCUGAGAAACGGCGUUUACAUCCAAGGAAGGCAGCAGGCGCGCAAAUUACCCAAUGCCGACACGGCGAGGUAGUGACGAGAAAUACUGAUACAGGGCUCUUUUGGGUCUUGUAAUUGGAAUGAGUACAAUUUAAAUCUCUUAACGAGGAACAAUUGGAGGGCAAGUCUGGUGCCAGCAGCCGCGGUAAUUCCAGCUCCAAUAGCGUAUAUUAAAGUUGUUGCAGUUAAAAAGCUCGUAGUUGAACCUUGGGCCUGGCUGGCCGGUCCGCCUCACCGCGUGCACUGGUCCGGCCGGGCCUUUCCCUCUGGGGAGCCCCAUGCCCUUCACUGGGCGUGGCGGGGAACCAGGACUUUUACUUUGAAAAAAUUAGAGUGUUCAAAGCAGGCCUAUGCUCGAAUACAUUAGCAUGGAAUAAUAGAAUAGGACGUGUGGUUCUAUUUUGUUGGUUUCUAGGACCGCCGUAAUGAUUAAUAGGGACAGUCGGGGGCGUCAGUAUUCAAUUGUCAGAGGUGAAAUUCUUGGAUUUAUUGAAGACUAACUACUGCGAAAGCAUUCGUCAAGGAUGUUUUCAUUAAUCAGGAACGAAAGUUAGGGGAUCGAAAACGAUCAGAUACCGUUGUAGUCUUAACCAUAAACUAUGCCGACUAGGGAUCGGGCGGUGUUAUUUUUUGACCCGCUCGGCACCUUACACGAAAGUACAAGUUUCUGGGUUCUGGGGGGAGU